This 1913-nucleotide ribosomal RNA is filed under the name uncultured cercomonad. RNAcentral's name for it is "SSU rRNA". It matches the Rfam family "Eukaryotic small subunit ribosomal RNA", at positions 116 to 1601 of the family's 1831-position model. The record is from RNAcentral. Lineage: Eukaryota; Cercozoa; Cercomonadida; Cercomonadidae.
UUUAUUUGAUGAUGACCCCUUUCCUUAAUUGGAUGGACUACAUGGAUAACCGUAGUAAUUCUAGAGCUAAUACAUGCGUAAAAUCCUGACUCUCGCUGGGGAAGGGAUGUAUUUAUUAGAUAAAAAACCAAUGUUUUUUUCUUUUCUUCUUUACUGAGGAAGGGAAGGGAACUUUUGUGUUGAUUCAUAAUAACUGAAACGAAUCGCAUUCAUAGUUUUUUUUCUUACUUUUCGAAGUAAGAAAGGCUGGCGAUAGUUCAUUCAAAUUUCUGCCCUAUCAGCUUUCGACGGUAGUGUAGUGGACUACCGUGGCAUUAACGGGUAACGGAGAAUUAGGGUUCGAUUCCGGAGAGGGAGCCUGAGAAAUGGCUACCACUUCCAAGGAAGGCAGCAGGCGCGCAGAUUACCCAAUCCUGACACAGGGAGGUAGUGACAAGAAAUAACAAUACCGGAUGUCUUAACAAAUGUCUGGUAAUUGGAAUGAGUACAAUUUAAACCCCUUAACAAGUAUCAAUUGGAGGGCAAGUCUGGUGCCAGCAGCCGCGGUAAUUCCAGCUCCAAUAGCGUAUAUUAAAGUUGCUGCAGUUAAAAAGCUCGUAGUUGGAUUUCUGAUCGGUGCCUUUGGGUCGCUUUGGCUAGCUUUUGGUCUUUAAUGGCCAAAGGUUAGUACCUGAGCGUGUUCCGAGGUUAAGCAAGAGGGAUUUGUUUACUUUUGUCUAGAUCGUUCGCGGUUUAGCAUGGUACGCCUUUUUGUCUUUUGCACCGAUCAUCCUUUCCGGGGGUAAAUUAACUUUGGUUAGUUUGCUUUUUUUUGCAUUCCCUUAAAAGAAUGUUUCAUUACCCGGAUCAUUUACUUUGAAAAAAUUAGAGUGUUUAAAGCAGGCUAUCAAGUCAAAUUUGGUUGCAUUUGAAUACAUUAGCAUGGAAUAAUAAGAUAGGACUCUGGUUCUAUCUUGUUGGUUUCUGGGACUAGAGUAAUGAUUGAUAGGGACAGUUGGGGGUGCUAGUAUUCACCGGCCAGAGGUGAAAUUCUUGGAUUCGUUGAAGACUAACUAAUGCGAAAGCAUUCACCAAGGAUGUCUUCUUUAAUCAAGAACGAAAGUUGAGGGAUCGAAGACGAUCAGAUACCGUCGUAGUCUUCAACCAUAAACUAUACCGACUAGGGAUGGGUGGCAGUUGUAAUAAAUAAUUUCAUUUGGUAAAACAAGAGGGGGAUUUUUUUCUCUUUUUUUUUGUCAUUUGAAGUUUAAUCGACUCCAUCCGCACCUUAUGAGAAAUCAAAGUCUUUGGGUUCUGGGGAGAGUAUGGUCGCAAGGCUGAAACUUAAAGGAAUUGACGGAAGGGCACCACCAGGAGUGGAGCCUGCGGCUUAAUUUGACUCAACACGGGGAAACUUACCAGGUCCAGACAUAGUGAGGAUUGACAGAUUGAAGCUCUUUCUUGAUCCUGUGGUUGGUGGUGCAUGGCCGUUCUUAGUUGGUGGAGUGAUUUGUCUGGUUAAUUCUGUUAACGAACGAGACCUCGACCUGCUAAAUAGACUCAUCAACCUCAAAUAGUUCCUUUCGGGGGAUUAUUUAGGUUGAUCUAAAUUUCUUAAUUUUCUUCGGUUAAUUGAGGGGUUUGGCUUUUGAUGGAGCGCUUCUUAGAGGGACUAUCGGUGUAUACUAGCCGAUGGAAGUUCGAGGCAAUAACAGGUCUGUGAUGCCCUUAGAUGCCCUGGGCCGCACGCGCGCUACACUGACGCAUUCAUCGAGCUUUACUUUGGUGUAGAUGGAGAGAGAAGGGGGAGAGGGAGUUAAAUCGUUUUCUCUUUUUUCUUUUUUUUCUUAUCAAAUUCACCUUGGCCGAGAGGUCUGGGUAAUCUUAGCAAAGUGCGUCGUGCUGGGGAUAGAUCAUUGUAAUUAUUGAUCUUC